UACGUAGGGAGCAAGCGUUGUCCGGAUUUACUGGGUGUAAAGGGUGCGUAGGCGGCCUUUUAAGUCAGCGGUAAAAUUUCGGGGCUCAACCCCGUCGUGCCGUUGAAACUGGCGUUCUUGAGUGAGCGAGAAGUAUGCGGAAUGCGUGGUGUAGCGGUGAAAUGCAUAGAUAUCACGCAGAACUCCGAUUGCGAAGGCAGCAUACCGGCGCUCAACUGACGCUCAGGCACGAAAGCGUGGGUAUCGAACAGG
RNAcentral lists this ribosomal RNA (252 nucleotides) under uncultured Bacteroidales bacterium. RNAcentral describes it as "partial 16S ribosomal RNA". It matches the Rfam family "Bacterial small subunit ribosomal RNA", at positions 524 to 776 of the family's 1533-position model. Lineage: Bacteria; Pseudomonadati; Bacteroidota; Bacteroidia; Bacteroidales. The record is from RNAcentral.